AAGAGUUUUAAGUUAAAACAGAUGUUAAUAUUCAUUACUUAAUGUAUUCAUAUAUAAUUUUAAAUGAAUAUGUAUUACAGUACUUAUUAUUAAUAUACGAAUAGUUGUUGAAAAAAAAGAACAAAAUCUCCAUCAUGUAAAUUAAAAAAGCUAACCAAGUAUUAAUUUCUUUAUAAAAUACCGGAACACGUGAAAAGCGAAUGCACUAUGGAAUUAAUAAUAACAUGGGUUGUGUACCUUGCAACUUAUAUGAGUAAAUUUUUUUUAUUAUUUGACUCAGCCAAGUGCUUGUUUUGGUGUACAUUCUAGAAACUUGAAAUCGACUUAUUGUCUGGGAUGUGCAAUAUUACAACAUCAUUUUGUUCAUUUGAAAAUAUAAUGUAGAUAUUUUUUUUGUUAUCAAGUUGAUUUAUUUUAUUAUUGUAUAAUUAACAGUUCAUUAUUCAUUUCUAUUGAGUGCAAUUUUUUCGUAAUCAACGUGAUUAAUGUAGAGAAUUUGAGCCCUCCUUCUUGACAACUAUAAUUCAAACAAGAUGAUAACUUUUCUAUUUUGUUUUUGGAUCUGUUUUCAUUAAGUUAUCAAAUAUAAUCUAGAAAGGUGCAUGUUUAUCGGUCAGAACAUAAUAUUUAUUAAUUUGUUGUUGUGAAAUGUUAUUCGAGUGCCCUUAAAAUCUUUCCUUAAAGUGAAUCAUUGAAAAAAAUAAAUAAUUGAAAAACUGAAGGACUUGAAACAAAUUAUCCAAUUGGGAACAAUUGGGUGAACUAGAAACUAGUUGAAACUCUUAAGUGUACUUAAGUUCAAUUAAUAAAUUUACCUAGGAUAAAUUUGCCAAUAAUUGAUUUGCAGCAUUCUAUUCAAAUGACAAAGGAAAAUCUCAAGAGAUUCCGUCACACAACAAUGGACAUUUUUAAAUGUGAAAAUAUUGAAGAUAAGAGAUUUAGUGAAGAAAAAGAAAAAUGGUAAAAGUAUGGAGUCUUGAGGAACACCACCAUAAAUGUUUGUGAGCUAAGAAAACCCUUUAAAUUGUAUGAAAAACACAAAACAAUCACUUUUAAAAUUUAAGUCGCUUGAAGAUUUAAGUUUUUAGUUAAAAAUUUAUCAAUAUUUUAUAUAGUGAAGCGAUUUUAAGUCAAAAACCUUAAAAAGUAUUCUUCGCUUAUGUGUUUUCUGUUCAUAUAUUUUGUUUAAGUACUUUUAAAGCCUAUAUACAUAAGUGAGAAUUUUUUGUUUGCAAUAUAAUAUAAAAAAAAAUUGUUAAAAUUUAAAAAUAAUUUACGAUAUUUCUAAAAAUAAAUUCUAAAAAAAAAACAAUUUCAAUUGCAUGUCUACGUAAAAUAUUUACUUAUACGAAAAUUAACUCCAACACGUGUUAAAAAUAUCUAUAGGCAGGUAUUUUAUUUGCACUGUCGUAGAUUGGUUCAUAGAAUUUUUUGUGUUAAAAUUGUUUACUUACUCAUUAGCGCCCACUUGUACAAACUUUUAUUGUUAUAUUUUUUUUUGAAUUUGGUAUUCACAGAAAUAAAAAAUAUUUCUUUAAAAUAAAAUUUGCACACUUACCUGAAAAAAAGAAAAAAAUAUUUAUUAGUUCAAUAAACGUUAAAAAUGUAAACAAUUAAUUUAUGUUAUUUUUAAUUAAAAAAGACAUGUAUACGGGAUUUUCCAAUAAAUUUAGAAUAUAUGUGAAAUAAAUUAUUAUUGUAGGCGAAAAA
Molecule: long non-coding RNA, 1710 nt
Organism: Eupeodes corollae
Lineage: Eukaryota; Metazoa; Arthropoda; Insecta; Diptera; Syrphidae
Exons: 2
Source: RefSeq, a predicted model, not a curated record